Molecule: long non-coding RNA, 1797 nt
Organism: Hyalella azteca
Lineage: Eukaryota; Metazoa; Arthropoda; Malacostraca; Amphipoda; Hyalellidae
Exons: 2
Source: RefSeq, a predicted model, not a curated record
ACUGCUCAGUGAUCGGCCUGAAGCUGAAGCUGAUGUACGAGAGGCCUAUGGAGAUCACCAGAUCAUUACAAACAAACAAAAUCUCUCUCGUCUUCUCGCCUCAGUCGUCCUUUACCUCCACGCCCAGACGGAGUGAUGAACUCGUUAUACUGCUGCAGCCCGUGGUGAGUGUCCAGCUGGUGCCUUGGUGGGAUCAAAAGUACUACUCGAACAUCUGGCCCGCCACGGGUGACGCUAGCGACGACAGAGAUCCAGACGAUCCUGCCUGGUAGCCAUGUUUGUUGUUAUUCUUUUAUUUAUCGUAUAUGUACUGGAAAUAUGUGCUCAGAUUUCUUUCUUCCAUGGUUGGCGAAAGAAUGAUGAGAUCAAAUGAGCCUUCUUUUGCCAAGCGCCCGUUAGUUGAAACUUUUUAAUGGCAAAUCAUUGAAGAGGAACUUUUUGUCUUGCCAGAUUGAUCUCAUUGCAUGAAACGGGGUCCAACACUAUGUAUUUAGUUCUGUCUAAACGAUUUUUAAACUGUGAUAGCUUCUAAUAAGUAGAUUUUUGUUAGUAUUGCUGUCGUCGAGGCGAUGGUGUAUGUUGCCAGUUAACCCUUCGCCAAAACUCAUGUGUUCAUGUUUUACUCGUCAUUAAACAUCAUCUGGAGCUAGAAUACCGUAUGAUAUGCUCCCUUUUAGCUCUCAGUAUUCACCCAGCGUAAUGCUGUUCCACUGGUGCGGCUUUCAAGUUAGGGAAGUUCUAAGCGUUCUGUGAUAUUCCGUAGCGUUGUAAGUUGGACUAUAGACGUGUUGCUUGACAUAACUUCUGUUGGUGCGGUCCCUUGUUGUUUGAAUGUUAUUAAGAGUGCAAGUGUACUCCUGCUGAUGAAGUGCAUCCGAUGUGAAUGAUUUAAUUAAUAUAAAUGACGCAAAUCUGUUUAGAGCGAUUUGAUUGAAUAUAAUGACUUAAAGUGAAUUUAAUGAUUUUAAUGAAUGAUGAUUUGAAAGAUUUAGACCAGGUUUUGAAUGAAAAUUGUAUUUAUAUUAGUGCUAAGUUAGUGUUGCAUCAUUACAAAACUGGAGGAUACAAUUUCCGUGCAGAAAUCCAGAAUUUGCAGAUAUAAAAUGUAAAUUUCAUUCGAGGAAGAUAACUGGACAUGUAACUAUUUUUGCAAUGUUAAACUGCAUGAGGCUCUUCAGGCGAAUCUCGCUUCGGUAUGCAUUUUAUGAAGUAAGCCUCAGUCAUGCAGUUUUCCUGAAAUGAGGUGCCAAUUCAUAUUUUGCUUCCCUGCCAUUCAGGUGCAGUAAAGCUGCCAAUAGUCAGUAUUUACAUGCAGUUAUUUGUUACUAAGAACAAAGGUUGGGUUGCAUGUGCUGUCAUGCGAAGGAAUAACUAACUACCGCUAUGAACAGUAAACUUAUGAUGCGAAAAAACUGCUGAAAAUACAGAUUAGAUCCUGAAACUACCGAGGUACAAGUACUGUCCGGGCAAUUAACAACAACAACAACAAGUACUGUCAGAAAUUUGUAGAUUACAGGAAACCGUUCGACCAGUUGUAAUCGAGUGAUUACGCGUUAAAUUUGAAUGACGCUCUGGGCAAACUUAGUGUAACGAAAGUUCUCAGGCAGGAUUUAUGGACAACUCCGGGAAAAGUGCCAUUGAGCAAUAAAUUGCGACGAGAAGCUGUUUCCGCUAGACGUGGUAGUGCUGAUACCGUCUGUGUUCAAUGUCGUCUGGACUAACGCGCUGCUCUUUAUUUUUCGUAAGAGAACCCUUCUGUGUACGAAUUGUUUUUCAUAAAUUCUAUUUUAAACCGUA